AAAACGACUCUCGGCAACGGAUAUCUCGGCUCACGCAUCGAUGAAGAACGUAGCAAAAUGCGAUACUUGGUGUGAAUUGCAGAAUCCCGUGAACCAUCGAGUUUUUGAACGCAAGUUGCGCCCGAAGCCAUUCGGCCGAGGGCACGUCUGCCUGGGCGUCACGC
Molecule: ribosomal RNA, 164 nt
Filed under: Oritrophium hieracioides
Lineage: Eukaryota; Viridiplantae; Streptophyta; Magnoliopsida; Asterales; Asteraceae
Also listed under: 7 other names
Description: 5.8S ribosomal RNA
Rfam family: 5.8S ribosomal RNA
About the family: 5.8S ribosomal RNA (5.8S rRNA) is a component of the large subunit of the eukaryotic ribosome. It is transcribed by RNA polymerase I as part of the 45S precursor that also contains 18S and 28S rRNA. Functionally, it is thought that 5.8S rRNA may be involved in ribosome translocation.
Source: RNAcentral